Molecule: non-coding RNA, 4347 nt
Organism: Lolium perenne
Lineage: Eukaryota; Viridiplantae; Streptophyta; Magnoliopsida; Poales; Poaceae
Source: RefSeq, a predicted model, not a curated record
UCCCCUGCCCCAAACCCCCAAUUUGAUAUUCGAUUUGGGGAUUUCAGGCCUUUUAAUUUGAGCUCCACAACAUAUCUACUUUAAUGCUUCCGUCGGUUCUCUGUUGUCGUGCAUCCAGUAUUUGAAUCCUUUGGUUUCCUCUUCUCAAAUGACCUGCUCGCCGCUUCUCCACCGUCGGGAUGCCCAACAACGCCGUCCUUGCCUCCGCCUGCGUCUCCACCUAGGGCCGCCGCCGUGGCCGCCCUUUUCUUCAAAAGGGCCUACUGCCCUGCUGCCGCAUUGACGAGCCUGGUCUUCGCUUCUCCGUUUCCAGUCGAAUUUCUCAUAUAUUCAAUCUCCAGAUUGCUAGGCCGAGAUUGCAGCUGGUAUGCAACGGCAAGAGGAAUCCAGUGUCCUGACUCCAGAAUCGUCAUCGUAUUCAACAUUCUCCUGCAGUUCAGUCGUAUAUAGAGAAAAGUACAGUAAUAUUGUUUCAUGUAUGCUGCACAUUAGCGCUUGGAUUAAAGACCGCUCACGCUUAGAGCAUUUUAUUUGCAUAUGGGGUUGGAGUUCAGCUCCCCGUUUGUGGUUUACCGGGGAAUUUGUGGUUUCGCUCCGAUUGCAUCAUCUCCGGUGGUGGUGUAACUAAUGUGGUUGCUUCGUGAUGAUCUCGCCAGCUACCGUCUUUACCCGGGCUGUGACUGUCGAUUUCUCGAGGAGUUACGCCAGGUUAGCCACGAUGAAUACCAGCGACUCCCGCACCGGCCGAUGAUGUGCUCAACAUGGUGUCACUCCAAACUUAGGGUAUCGGGUCGCGGCAAGGAGCCCCGCGGCGGUGACAUCAAGGACACUCUGAGUCAAUUCGUCAAUUCGUCAGACACUUACACAACGUCAGGUACCAUCUCCAGCGUGCCAUGGGAUUGAGCACGAGCCGUGCAGACUAGGACAAGAGCGGUGGCGUCCACACCAUGGCCUUGAUGAUCUUGACGCUGUUGUAUCAUGGAGCUCUAGCUUGGUGCCUCAGAUACGACUCUCCGCCCUCUCCUCCCUCUCUUAUUGCACAACUCCUAUGUACAGUCGUUCUAUUGAAUUAGUUGUUUUAGUAUUGUGUAGAGAGUAAAGAUGGCCGGGUCGUAGGCUGGCAUGGUGUUGAUGUAGUAGAUAAUCAUGCUCUUAUUGGCAUCAUUAGGCCACCCAAUGUUCAUACGAACUGAAGUUCAGACAAUUCUUAGUGUUCUCUCCUGUACAACUCAAGACCCAUAGAAUAAAAAAAUAAGAUCUUAGCUUUGUUCAGUCUGCUCCAAAUUUACCUAUCCAAAGAAUCUCAAUAUUCGUAUCAAGAAGAAUUAAAAAUGUUUUCGAAACCAGAUGCAACCCUAAAUUUGUACACUAACCAUGGAACUAUCAUCCAAUAUUUAGCUAGGUACUAUGGGUAAGUGUUUUACCUAAUAGUUUGUUGAAUAGUCUAGAUGAUGAGACAAUUCUGUAGAUAAGACUGUUUUUUCUGAUAUUUGUAUUCAAUUUAUAUGCAACUGAAGAGUUUAAACUUCGAAAAGAAACUGAGAUAUUGUAGUAUAUAAGAUAAUUCUGUUUCUGUUCUGUCAUUUUGAGACUUAGAUCAUAAGCGUGCAUAUUUUGCCCCUGUGCAUUUCAGAGUGUCACGCAGAACCUCUCAUUGGGAACUGAUUUCAGCUGACACCACAAAGGAAUUCAGGUGUUGGUUUUAUUGCUAGAUAUGCCACGAAGACAAUGCUAAGUAUUUUGUAUUCGUUAUCUCAUAUAAAAUAGUUAGGCAUUUGGAAUGUAUUACUCUACAUUGAAUCCAGGUGUGUUGAUAUACAAUGCCAUUCAUGGAGUAAGCAUUGCAUAUACUUGCUUUGUCUUAAUUAAUCGAAACUUCCUAUGUUUGCCUACAAUGCAUUUACUUUCUUAGUGCUACAAAAAUGCAUCAACCAGAACGGUAGAUUUCCUAUGUGCCACUAUAAACAGGUUACCAACUGAAAGUUUUUAUUUAACAUUCCAGCAUAAUCUUGGUCAGCUCUGAUUAUGAAAGUUUCUGGCCUUUAUGGUACUUGUCUCUAUUGCAGCUGCACUACACAUUAAUUGAGAAAUAUAUUUCUUCCCUGCAAUUGAGUUUUUCUUUAUUCAUGUAAGGAAAAAAUUAACGACAUGUCCAAAUGUUCUUUUCCUGAACUGAAGUAUUUAGUAAUCUCAAGAAACAACCAGCAAUAAAAGUAAUAUCAAACUGGCAAAGCAUGGGCGCAUGUUUUUCUUUGCCUCUAUAGAAAACCUCUUCUACCACAUGUCAUAGCUCUAGAAAAUAUAUUUUCAUGUCAGGAGAUGCCAUGCCUGUAGGUCGAGCUGGGCCAAGCACCAGAGCUAGAACUGCUAAUGAAUUGUUCCUGUGGCAAGACCAUAUUCUUAUUCUUAAAUCUGUCACUAGAACUGCUAAUUAGCAUAUAUUUUAAUUACAUUACAAAUUGCGACAACGGAGUGAAUUAAUCAUCUAUAUAGAGGACCUUUCAAUUAAGUGAUGGGAUCACCAAAAGUCAUAGCAGUACAUAUCGCUGCAAAAAGGCAUUAGUCAUCCCUAUUAAGAGAUGCAAUCACCAAAAUUCCUAUGCAAUAUAUUUUUCUACCUCUGAGUUUUGCAGCAAGAAAUUAUUCAAAAGGAAAAUAUUUGAUUUUUUUUACCUUAUUCCUUUUCAAAGAACUGGUAAAAAUCCUCCCUAUGCGAAAUCAAUAUUAUGGCAGAUGAGGGAUCAGGGAAAUCAUUCGAGCUAACAAACCUGUGGAUCAUCUCAAAUAAUUGUUCUGGGUAUAUAGUUCAGUUCCAUGUAAAUAUUAACCUCAAUAUUUUUCCAAUGCAGAUAUUUCUCAUACAUGUACAUGUGCCUGAGGAUUUGAGACCCCAACAGAAGAUUGCCAAUAUCUACUUCAAUGCUGCUCUGGCCGACGACUGGCACGGGCUCGAGAGAUACGACCUGGUGCCCUACCACGCCGCGCACGCGCAGAAACAGUGGCGGCUUCGAGCAGCAGCCGGAAAGAGUGUUGAGGAAUCUCUAGCCAACAAGCAAUCCAGGAGGAUAUAUGAACUAUCAUCCACACAAUCUGGAUCGACAUAGUAGGAAGAUGAAUCGGUGCCUCGAGAGCUACCUUAAGAUGCAGGAUGUGCACACGGUCAUCUUCUUUCUUUUUUGCCCAACCCCAAGCAUUACUUAAGAGUUUCUUCUGUUACAAGUGUUUGUUUUCCACCAUAAUUAUGUGAGUUGAUUGGUCGGCAUUAUACGAAUUGGUUCAUGGUUUGCCCUCUUUGGAAAACACAAAGCUUGCUCCUCAUUAUACUACUGUAUGCCUUGCCAUGUGUUGAAAUUUCUCGGUACACUAUGGUUUAGGAUAACUUUCUGCUUAUAUUCUGAUGCUUUACCUACAGCCAACUGUUUCUACUCGAAGUCCUUUGUGGUUGAUGAGAUUCUAGAUGAUGUGCUUUCUGAUUAGGUGUUACUGAGGUGAGUUUGUAUGAAUUUUUUAAUGCAGCUUUUUUUCAGUCCAAGAAGCAUUAAAAUAUUGCUUCCGUCCCAAGGGAACAUGAUGAAAGGAUGUGCGCCAACUAAUCAUAUAGAUCAAUUCAAGGCACGGCUAAAAGAAGGUUCAGCUUACACCUUAGAACAUUCAUCGUUGCUGAUGUGCGGAAUAAAUACAGAGUAGCGGAUCAUCCUUACAGAAUCAAAAUUACUCAGUGCUCAAAAGUUCAGGAAAUCAUUCCACAACAUGUUAACCUUCCUCUAUUUUCAUAUAAUGCAACACGUGCAGUCGACAAUAGUCCUGUCAGCAAGCAGUAAGAUACCAUCUGCAUCAUCAGACCAACCUGUUCCAACUACUCGAGACAGAGAUGAAGCACUGUCGAUGUUGUUUUUCGUUGUUAUUUUCUUUCAGAUUUCUACUAGAAGCAUUAACUUCCCUGCUCAUUCUUCCGUUGGAGUUCCUCACAGCAAUAGGCUUAGAAUAGCAGAUACUGAAGUGCACAUACUGCUGGUCAUCCUCGGUGAGCUCUGUUACAAUUCAUUUCUUAGAGUUUGGUGUUUGCUGAACAUAUGCGGUGCUUGGUGAGGUGUAGGUGUGUUGGUUCGCAUGUGUUCUUUUCUUUUUUCCUCUUGUACAUUCUGCAUAUGUAUCAUGGUUUUUUGUUGCUCUGUUUUCUAGGAUCAAUUCUCUACUCAAGACGAAGAAGUUUCCACUUACUCCUUUAAUGUGCACAGCUGUUCUUUUAGUUUUUUAGUUUUUAUUUUUUUUCCGUGCAACUGUUACUUAUUAAUUUUCUCAUGCCGCUAAAUUUGAAAUGACUGGUUCCGAAGUGCAAGCACUAUC